This 479-nucleotide ribosomal RNA is filed under the name uncultured Pseudomonadota bacterium. Its description in RNAcentral is "bacterial SSU rRNA". It matches the Rfam family "Bacterial small subunit ribosomal RNA", at positions 355 to 824 of the family's 1533-position model. Lineage: Bacteria; Pseudomonadati; Pseudomonadota. The record is from RNAcentral.
UGGGGAAUAUUGGACAAUGGGCGCAAGCCUGAUCCAGCCACGCCGCGUGAGUGAUGAAGGCCUUCGGGUCGUAAAGCUCUGUGGGGAGGGACGAACCGCCGUUGGUUCAUAGCCAACGGCAUGACGGUACCUCCUUAGCAAGCACCGGCUAACUUCGUGCCAGCAGCCGCGGUAAUACGAAGGGUGCAAACGUUGCUCGGAAUUAUUGGGCGUAAAGCGCACGUAGGCGGCUUUGCAAGUCGGAUGUGAAAUCCCACGGCUUAACCAUGGAAGUGCAUCCGAAACUGCAGAGCUUGAGUACUUAAGAGGAUCGCGGAAAUUCCCGGUGUAGAGGUGAAAUUCGUAGAUAUCGGGAGGAACACCAGUGGCGAAGGCGGCGAUCUGGGAAGAUACGUGACGCUGAGGUGCGAAAGCGUGGGGGAGCAAACAGGAUUAGAUACCCUGGUAGUCCACGCCGUAAACGAUGAGUGCUAGAUGCU